AGCCUGAUCCAGCCAUGCCGCGUGAGUGAAGAAGGCCUUCGGGUUGUAAAGCUCUUUCGGCCGGGACGAAAUCGCUCUCGCUAAUAUCGGGAGUGGAUGACGGUACCGGAAUAAGAAGCACCGGCUAACUACGUGCCAGCAGCCGCGGUAAUACGUAGGGUGCAAGCGUUAAUCGGAAUUACUGGGCGUAAAGCGUGCGCAGGCGGUUCCGCAAGUCAGAUGUGAAAUCCCCGGGCUUAACCUGGGAACUGCGUUUGAAACUACGGAGCUAGAGUAUGGCAGAGGGAGGUGGAAUUCCAAGUGUAGCAGUGAAAUGCGUAGAUAUUUGGAGGAACACCGAUGGCGAAGGCAGCCUCCUGGGCUAGUACUGACGCUCAUGCACGAAAGCGUGGGGAGCAAACAGGAUUAGAUACCCUGGUAGUCCACGCCCUAAACGAUGGCAACUAGUUGUUGGGGAUUAACAUCCUUAGUAACGCAGCUAACGCGUGAAGUUGCCCGCCUGGG
Molecule: ribosomal RNA, 504 nt
Filed under: uncultured bacterium
Lineage: Bacteria
Description: bacterial SSU rRNA
Rfam family: Bacterial small subunit ribosomal RNA
Source: RNAcentral